CGGGGUCCAGGAGGUUGGGCCUUGGAACGGAGGGCUCGGUGCAGGUCCUCAUGGUCAGCCGGUGGCCAUGAGAGCACCCACGGCUGUUUCAAAGGCCUUCUGUCACGUUUCCAUGUGAUGUUGCUCAGAUCGCUAGAGCUUCUAAGAAGGAACCGUCCUAGAGGCUUCCUCUCAGUUUCCUUUUUAAAGGUUUACACACUCUCUGGCAAGACCCCUGGAGAGGGUGCCUUCUGAGGAUGGGGAGAUGCCCUCGGGGCUGCCGUCGGCUCCUGGCUCCACGUGCACCAGAGGAGCUGAGGAGCAGGGAGCAGCGACGGAGAGGCGGUGGGACCCCGUGAGCCCUGCGGGCGGGAGUGCAGGGUCCACUCCGGAGGACCAGGUCUGCAGUCCGUGGCUGCGAUCACACGACUCUCCCCCGUGUUGCUUGUUUUAAUUGUUAUUUGAACACAUUGUCCUAGUAAAAGCUGCAGGCACGAUAGAGACGGCCAAAGUCGGCCGACAGACCCCCAGCCGCCUUCUCCUCCCCGCACAGGGGCCUGUCCCUGCAGUGGUCUUUCUUUCACAGAUAGUCAGAUUUUAAGAGGGUUUGUGUAAUUAUAGGCUGUGAUGCUUUUUCCACAGAACAAUGUGCUGUGGUCUUUUAAACAAAGGCAGGCAGAGUCCUGGGUGGGUGUCGUUUUCCGACAGGUGGGCACCUGGGCGCUGGUGUUUUUCCACCACAGAUCAUGAUGCAGUGAACAUCAUGAACUACAGCUCUCCAGGUGCCCCCCAGCCCCAGCCCCAGCUUGCCCAAACCAGCCCCUUGCCCGAGCUUUAGAGUGGAAGAAAAUCAUACAAGAUCCAAGGGGCUACCUACAGACACCAGCAAGCACCUGCUGUUCAGAGACUGGGUUAAAAUGGGGCAGAUUCAACAGGGUGAGGGUGCAGAACCUCGCCCCGUGAGACAGGCAUGGAUCUGUCUCCUGAUAUCGGACCUUCCAUGCAUUCUGCCCAUGUGGCAUUUGGAGAAGAGAGGAGAAUGGGCCCGAAACCUAAGAGCAUGACUCUCCACCACUGGGGACUAAGAAGGUGUCCAGAGAGGCUGGACCUAGCACCUGCUGCACAGAAGGCCCCGGGACCCUCCUCCCGGCCAUCUGGGAUGGCUUCCACAGCCGGCUAGGGCUCUUCUGUUCCAUCUCUGAAGUCAUCACGCUUUGUUGACACAAAGCACCGCCCAACCACAGCCCCUCACCUGCCCUGUGUAUUCUGUGACCCGAGAAUGAUCUUUUACAUUUUAAGAGGUUAGAAAAAAAUUAGAAGGAUGUUUUAUGACACAUAAAAAUUACAUGAAAUUAAACUUCACGGUUGAUAAAGAUUCGUAAC
RNAcentral lists this long non-coding RNA (1362 nucleotides) under Marmota monax (woodchuck). Lineage: Eukaryota; Metazoa; Chordata; Mammalia; Rodentia; Sciuridae. The record is from RNAcentral.